GGACUACUCGGGUAUCUAAUCCGUUUUGCUCCCCACGCUUUCAUGCCUCAAUGUCAGUAACAGAAUAGUCAACUGCCUUCGCCAUAUCGGUGUUCUUCCAUAUAUCUACGCAUUUUACCGCUCCACAUAGAGUUCCGUUGACCUCUCCUGAACUCGAGUUUAACAGUAUUAUUGACUUCCACUGGGUUAAGCCCAGAUUUCCCACCAAUAACUUAUUAAACCAUCUACGCAUCCUUUACGCCCAAUGAUUCCGGAUAACGUUCGCCACCUAUGUCUUACCGCGGCUGCUGGCAC
This 294-nucleotide ribosomal RNA is filed under the name uncultured bacterium. Its description in RNAcentral is "partial 16S ribosomal RNA". The record is from RNAcentral.